Molecule: transfer RNA, 71 nt
Filed under: Mesorhizobium sp.
Lineage: Bacteria; Pseudomonadati; Pseudomonadota; Alphaproteobacteria; Hyphomicrobiales; Phyllobacteriaceae
Also listed under: 1 other name
Description: tRNA-Asn
Rfam family: tRNA
About the family: Transfer RNA (tRNA) molecules are approximately 80 nucleotides in length.
Source: RNAcentral
CGGUAGCUCAGUGGUAGAGCAACCGGCUGUUAACCGGUUGGUCGCUGGUUCGAAUCCGGCCCGGGGAGCCA